UGAACGGCCCUUGUUGUGAGGA
Molecule: microRNA, 22 nt
Filed under: Rattus norvegicus (Norway rat)
Lineage: Eukaryota; Metazoa; Chordata; Mammalia; Rodentia; Muridae
Description: Rno-Mir-506-P5_3p* (star (passenger))
Source: RNAcentral